This 76-nucleotide transfer RNA is filed under the name Propithecus verreauxi (white sifaka). RNAcentral's name for it is "tRNA-Gln". It matches the Rfam family "tRNA". From Rfam's summary of the family: Transfer RNA (tRNA) molecules are approximately 80 nucleotides in length. Their secondary structure includes four short double-helical elements and three loops (D, anti-codon, and T loops). Lineage: Eukaryota; Metazoa; Chordata; Mammalia; Primates; Indriidae. RNAcentral also lists the same sequence under 2 other names. The record is from RNAcentral.
UGUAGAAUGUGGUGUAUUUUGGGUAGCACGAAGAAUUUUGAAUUCUUAGGGGUAGGUUCAAUUCCUAUUGUUCUAG